UGAGGAAUAUUGCGCAAUGGGGGAAACCCUGACGCAGUGACGCCGCGUGAGUGAUGAAGGCUUUCGAGUUGUAAAACUCUGUUAGGUGGAAAGAAACACUCCAGCGCUAAUAUCGCUGGGGCUUGACGGUACCACCAGAGGAAGCACCGGCUAACUCCGUGCCAGCAGCCGCGGUAAUACGGAGGGUGCAAGCGUUGUUCGGAUUUACUGGGCGUAAAGGGCGUGUAGGCGGUUGGCUAAGUCAGAUGUGAAAGCCCUUGGCUUAACCAAGGAAGAGCAUUUGAAACUACCUGACUUGAGUACGGGAGAGGACGGGGGAAUUCCCGGUGUAGAGGUGAAAUUCGUAGAUAUCGGGAGGAAUACCGGUGGCGAAGGCGCCCGUCUGGACCGAUACUGACGCUGAGACGCGAAAGCGUGGGGAGCAAACAGGAUUAGAUACCCUGGUAGUCCACGCCGUAAACGAUGAGCACUAGGUGUAGCGGGUAUUGACCCCUGCUGUGCCGUAGCUAACGCAUUAAGUGCUCCGCCUGGGGAUUACGGUCGCAAGACUA
This 551-nucleotide ribosomal RNA is filed under the name uncultured bacterium. RNAcentral's name for it is "bacterial SSU rRNA". It matches the Rfam family "Bacterial small subunit ribosomal RNA", at positions 355 to 896 of the family's 1533-position model. The record is from RNAcentral.